CUUUGACCUCGGAUCAGGUAGGGAUACCCGCUGAACUUAAGCAUAUCAAUA
RNAcentral lists this ribosomal RNA (51 nucleotides) under ascomycete sp. DAR 73142. RNAcentral describes it as "partial 28S ribosomal RNA". The record is from RNAcentral. Lineage: Eukaryota; Fungi; Ascomycota. RNAcentral also lists the same sequence under 3 other names.